Dromiciops gliroides (monito del monte) is the source of this 1340-nucleotide long non-coding RNA. RefSeq lists it as uncharacterized. The transcript is spliced from 3 exons. NCBI's taxonomy places the organism in Eukaryota, Metazoa, Chordata, Mammalia, Microbiotheria, Microbiotheriidae. The record is from RefSeq and is a predicted model, not a curated record.
CCUUUGCUCUAGCCUUCAGGAGAUGGUCAGAAACCUUGGAAAGAACAAGUCUAUGAGGAGGUGGUGGGAGCAGAAGCCAAACUGCAGGGGACUGACAAAGAGAGAGGGAGAUGGUGUCCCCAGAGGGUUCAUAGACACCACCAGGCGGGUCAAGGUCCGGGGGCUCCUGAGCAGUGGAGGAGACAUUUGAGGAGGGCCUUGGAAGAUGGACAGGACUGUGACAGUGGAAGGAAGGUCAUGGUUUCCCUGCCCAAGAACAGCAAGAAAAAUGAUGCAGAGGCUGGGGCAUCAGCCUGGCUUGCCCAAGCAAGGCAGGGUCUUCCCUCCUGAUCAUGAGGACCUUUUCUUGUGGCCAAGAAAAAUAUCUGAGUGAAAUAACCAAAAUAAUGAUGGUGUGCAAAAUAUUCUUAUUUCAAAUGAGAUACUCCAUGGAAAGUGCACAUUUUAAAGUGUUAUAUAAAUAUGAGCUGCUACUACUACCACCACCACCACCACUACUACUACUACCAUCAUUCCUCCCCAGUUGUUCUCACUCCUCAGGUUGGAGGAAGAAGGAAUUUCAGUCUCUAUCCUCUAGAUAAAGGCCAUUGCCUAUCUUCUGAUGUUGGAGGCUUCUGUAUCGUUUGCAUUUAUUUUGUUGCAGUCAUCACUGUGCAUUUUGUCCUCUCUCUUCUUUGCUCCAUAUCAGUUCAUACAAGUCUUCCCAUGUCUUUUCUCAUGUUUGUUCAGUCAUUCCACAUUGAUGCGUACCCUCCCUACUGACAGGGUUUUACUACCACAAAUAACUGUUUAAAAACUACCACCACAGAAUUCCAUGUUUUCUAGAAUGGUUGGACUGGUUCGAUGUCAACGAGCAGUGCAUAUGUAGUAUCUGCCUUUCCACAAAUGGACCCUGGCCCUUCAACGUCGAGAUUGUUUCUCUAUUUUAUCACGUCUGCUGUUUCCUGAGAAGGUCAAGUGAAACCUCAGAAUUGUUUUAAUUUUCAUCUCCUAUUUAGUGGUUUGAGAGAUUUGUUCCAUAUGGCUUCGAAGAUUCUUUUUUUGAAAACUCUCUGUUCAUGACUUUUGAUUAUUUAUCUCUUGGGAAUGACUCAGUCUUACCAUAUAUAUUUAUGUUGAAUCCUUGGAUACCUUAGACAGUGGAGAUGUUUUAUGCCAAUAUUAUCUCUCCCACUUGACCAUUUUUCUUCUAGUUGCACUGAUUUUAUUCGUACAAAGCUUUUAAAUUUUAUGUGAUAAAGUAUAUAUCUUUGUUACAACUGAGAUCACAUCCAUUUGGAAUGUACAGUGGUAUGUGGUGUAAUAAUAUGCUUGUCUACCCACAAACUGCUUUUUCACAG